AGGUAAUGCUUGGGAAUCUGGCUUAUGGAGGGGGAUAACUACGGGAAACUGUAGCUAAUACCGCGUAGAAUCGGAAGAUGAAAGUGCGGGACCGCAAGGCCGCAUGCCAUGAGAUGAGCCCAAGUGGGAUUAGGUAGUUGGUGGGGUAAAGGCCUACCAAGCCUGCGAUCUCUAGCUGGUCUGAGAGGAUGGCCAGCCACACUGGAACUGAGACACGGUCCAG
RNAcentral lists this ribosomal RNA (223 nucleotides) under uncultured bacterium. Its description in RNAcentral is "partial 16S ribosomal RNA". It matches the Rfam family "Bacterial small subunit ribosomal RNA", at positions 108 to 334 of the family's 1533-position model. The record is from RNAcentral.